RNAcentral lists this transfer RNA (67 nucleotides) under Marmota monax (woodchuck). Its description in RNAcentral is "tRNA.Ala". The record is from RNAcentral. Lineage: Eukaryota; Metazoa; Chordata; Mammalia; Rodentia; Sciuridae.
GGUUACGGCUCAGUGGUAGAGCACUGGCCUGGCAUGUGUGAGGCACUGGGUUCGAUCCUCAGCACCG